AAUUGUUCCAACCCAUAAGAAGGAGUUUCAAUGAUAUCGUGAUAGGGAUCACAAUAUAUCUCACUACCAAACAGAAUAGAACCUAUGGAGUCACACAUAAUAGAGGUAUUGAUCGAUCCGAUGGUUGAGUUGUGAUUUGGAAUCACAAUAGUUCAUGAUUAUCAAUUUGAUUGAUAAUUAAUUAACCCACUAAGAGUUAGUGAGUUGAAGAAG
Molecule: long non-coding RNA, 213 nt
Filed under: Phoenix dactylifera (date palm)
Lineage: Eukaryota; Viridiplantae; Streptophyta; Magnoliopsida; Arecales; Arecaceae
Description: long non-coding RNA (PDAC_LNC008406)
Source: RNAcentral